This 256-nucleotide unclassified non-coding RNA is filed under the name uncultured fungus. Its description in RNAcentral is "partial contains small subunit ribosomal RNA, internal transcribed spacer 1, and 5.8S ribosomal RNA". The stretch from base 1 to 73 matches the Rfam family "Eukaryotic small subunit ribosomal RNA", at positions 1759 to 1831 of the family's 1831-position model. The record is from RNAcentral. Lineage: Eukaryota; Fungi.
GCAAACUUGGUCAUUUAGAGGAAGUAAAAGUCGUAACAAGGUCUCCGUUGGUGAACCAGCGGAGGGAUCAUUACAGAGUUGUAAAACUCCUAACCAUUGUGAACAAACCCAUAGUUGCUUCGGCGAGUAGUGCUUUGUAACUAUCCGCCGGCAGCAUACAAACUCUUGAUUAUAGUGAACUUCUGAGUUAUUUAUUUAAUAAGUUAAAACUUUCAACAACGGAUCUCUUGGUUCUGGCAUCGAUGAAGAACGCAGC